Molecule: long non-coding RNA, 2949 nt
Filed under: Salvia miltiorrhiza (redroot sage)
Lineage: Eukaryota; Viridiplantae; Streptophyta; Magnoliopsida; Lamiales; Lamiaceae
Description: long non-coding RNA (SMIL_LNC002650)
Source: RNAcentral
GUAUAAAAUACAUGCUUCAAAACUGUAAAUUGUCAUGCCAUAAUUAAACAGUACAGCAAGGGAGUUUUUCGCUAAAAGACCCAAGCUUACUAAAUUCAUUUGUGAUUCUUAAAGUUCGACUGCAGUCUAAGUUCUCUUGUAAUCUAUCAUAUCUGGAACUUUGUGCCGGAGAGGUGGCCACCUCUCACGGUCACUUGACCGGCCAACCCGCUAGAUGACUCACGGUCACUGGUGUACACUAGCCCUGGCAGGAUAGCUAUCAACUGCUCAGGACCCGAAUUCGAUUGCAUAAUAAAAGUCACAUCAGAUAGAUAUCAUACUGAAAUUUAAAUAUUUUAUGGCAAGACAAUAUUUGAAAUAACUUCAAUUAAUUUAAUCAUGAGAUAACUUGCUUGAACGUAACAUUUAAACUCAUUUGAUAUAUAUGAAAGUAAUGCCCACCUGAUAGCAAAGCUUUGCUACAGAUUAGUAACUCCUUGACGAGCUCUUAUUCUUGCGCUCGACCUUUAAUCCGAGAAAAUAACGUAAGACUUUAAAUCGAGGGAAAAUUCUCAAUUAAAUGAGAAUGCAUAAUUUAACUAUGCAUGAACCUCGUAUGCAUGAACUAUUAUUCUAAGAUAAUAAUCAGGGAAUUUCUAUUGUUAAUCCAGGCUAUCGGAUUUAAACAAAAGCUACGUCUCGUCUCAUGAAGCCGGAUAAUUAACUAAAAUUAAUCCGUUCUCUUCGGGGUGUUCUAAUCCGUCAAUUAAAUAAACUCCAUUCCUCGUAGUCAAUAGAAAAUAAAUAAAUACUUCAACUUAUUCGCUUUAUAACCUCAUAAUUAAUCGGGACUUAAAAAAAUAGGAACAAGUAAUGUUAUAAAAUUAAAUAAUUAAAAGGCUCAACAUAAGGCAGCCUAAUAAUUAAUUAAAUAGAAUUGGCUUGAAUAAUUAACAUGAGAGGCCCAAUUGAAAUAAUUCAUCGGCUCAAGUAAUUAAAUAAAUCUUGUCUCAAUAAAUAAAUAAUUUGAUUAGCUGGGCUCAAUUAAAUAAUUCAAACGAGGCCCAACAAAGAUAAUAUAACAGCCCAAUUAAAAUAAAAUAAAUGGGCUUCAAUUUAAAUAAAUUCGGCCCAAUGAAAUAAAAUAACCAAGGCCCAACUGAAAUGAUACAGCAGUCCAAAUAAGUGAAUAAUCAAAGGCCCAUAUAAAUAAAUUCAGAGGCCCAAUCAGUAAUUAAAAUCGGCCCAUAUCAGAGGCCCAAUCAGUAAUUAAAAUCGGCCCAUAUAAAUAAUUUCAGAGGCCCAAUUACAAUAAAAUCAAGAAAGCCCAAUUAAAAUAGAAUGCAGUUGGGCUUUCAUUAGUAAAUUCGGCCCAAAGAGAAAUAAUAAAGGCCCACAUGAAAAUAAAUACAACAAGGCCCAAUGAAUAAAUAAUUAAAGCCCAAAAAUUUGGCCCAACUCAAUUAAAAUAGGAGCCCAUUUAAACUAAGCCCAAUUUUCAUAAAUAAGGAAAGAAGCCCAAAUCCUUCUUCCCCCAAACAUCUCGGUUCUCUCUCUCUCAACAUAACAGUCGAGCUCUCUCUCUCUAUUUCUUCCUCUCGUUCCAGCCGAGGCGCUGCCGUCGCCGCUCCGAAAUCCGCAGCCGCCGUCUCGCCGUAAAGGAGCUCGGCCGCCGUCUAUCUGGUCUUCCGCCUUCGGCCUCCGCUCGAAAAAGGGCGUGGGGUAGCUUCCUCUCCAUCCCCUCGUCUGGAACAGGCGUCUGCCCUCUCCGCCAUAGGGUGCGCACGGCCGCCGUCUGUUCGCCUUCUCCGUCGUCCGUCUGGCUGGAGUCGCGGUGGAGGCCGAGCCUUCGCUCGUCCUUCUCUCCUUCCUCGAUUUAAUGGGGAAUCCCCAAGUGAGGAGCCCUAAUUCUCUCAAAUCAGAAAUCGCCGCCGCUGCUCCUGAAAUCUUCGGCGAGGUUGUCGCCUCAAACCGGCGUUGCUCCGCCUGAAAUCGCCACCGCCGUCGUGCACCGAGCCGUUGCUGCUGGAUUCGGGCGAUGGGUAUGCCGCCGCUGCUGUUACUCUGGAAUCGGCGAGAUUCGCCGCGUCGCUGGACUGUCUUGAGGCCCGCUGCCUCUCCGGCCCUUCCUUUUCGGUCCUUCGAGUUCCGACAAGCAGCAAAGUUCUGCCUCGUCGCCGUUCCGACCGAGCGGAGGUGCGUCGCUUCCGAUUCAGAGCAGGCAGUCGCCCACUCCUCACAUUAAAGCUAAGUUUCAAUUCUCCGUCUCUUUUCUUUUCGUUGCGUGAUUGAGUUUCGAUAUGAGUAUAGAUUUACUCGAGUAAGAAUCUAGUACUUAGCACUCUAUGUGUGUGAGCAUGCUAGCAAGUCUUAUAUUCGUAUUUAUGUAGCUGAGGUUUUUCUCUUUUCCAUUUGUGUGUGAAGCAUAUUGAUGUUCUAGGCUUAACUAAUCAUGCUUGAGGAUGCUAGAUGCGUAUGUUGAGAGGGUGACUGAGAUAGUGUAAAUACCUUGAUGUAUAAAUGUUGGUUGGCUGUUGUUGCUGAGUUAAAUGAGCUGGAAUGACUGAACUGAAUAGAUCGAAUGUUGUUGUUUUAGUAAUUGCAGUUGGUUAAUGGAAGGAGAUGAAAGGAGUAAAGCCAAGCUUACCUUGAAGUGGCAGAGCACCGGAUGAAUGAAAGCCAAAUCUCACCUUGGAGUUUCUGGCAGCAUCUUAGACUAAUUACUUCCCUUGGUUUGCUAGUGAUUAAGGGAGUGUUUUGGCUGAACUUGUAGGCUAGGAAGGCAAAGGGGCGAUGGAGUGCACUUGAGUGUUGAGUGGUGGUGUUGUAUGAAUGGGGAGAAAAGCAUGGUGGAGCAAAAAGAAAGUUUGUGUAAUGAUACUGAUGACUUUGUAUGUUAUUAUGAGUUGUGGACAUCAAUGUAUCAAUGUGAUUGGAAUAUUGUAUAUUUACAUAAAUCUCGAUUUCGAC